Molecule: ribosomal RNA, 500 nt
Filed under: uncultured bacterium
Lineage: Bacteria
Description: bacterial SSU rRNA
Rfam family: Bacterial small subunit ribosomal RNA
Source: RNAcentral
GAUGAACGCUAGCAGCAGGCCUAACACAUGCAAGUCGAACGGUAACAUAAUCACGCUUCGGCGUGAUUGAUGACGAGUGGCGCACGGGUGCGUAACGCGUAUAGAACCUACCCUGUACAGGGGGAUAGCCCAUGGAAACGUGGAUUAAUACCCCGUGGUGAUCUUAAUUGGCAUCGAUUAAGGUUUAAAGCUUUCGGGCGGUACGGGAUGGCUAUGCGUCUUAUUAGUUAGUAGGUGAGGUAACGGCUCACCUAGGCAGCGAUAAGUAGGGGCCCUGAGAGGGGGAUCCCCCACACUGGUACUGAGACACGGACCAGACUCCUACGGGAGGCAGCAGUGAGGAAUAUUGGACAAUGGGCGGAAGCCUGAUCCAGCCAUGCCGCGUGCAGGAAGACGGCCUUAUGGGUUGUAAAACUGCUUUUUUAUACGGGAAGAAUAAUCGCCACGUGUGGUGAGAUGACGGUACCGUAAGAAUAAGGACCGGCUAACUCCGUGCCAGC